GAUGAACGCUAGCGGCAGGCUUAACACAUGCAAGUCGAGGGGCAGCGCGGGAUAGCAAUAUCCUGGCGGCGACCGGCGGAAGGGUGCGUAACGCGUGAGCGACAUGCCCGUUGCCCGGGGACAACCGGUGGAAACGCCGACUAAUCCCCGAUGGGAUACGAUGCUUCAUGGCAUUGUAUUGAAAGUUACGGCGGCGACGGAUUGGCUCGCGUCCGAUUAGCUGGUUGGCGGGGUAACGGCCCACCAAGGCUGCGAUCGGUAGGGGUUCUGAGAGGAAGGCCCCCCACAAUGGGACUGAGACACGGCCCAUACUCCUACGGGAGGCAGCAGUGAGGAAUAUUGGUCAAUGGGCGGAAGCCUGAACCAGCCAUGCCGCGUGCGGGAAGGAGGCCAUAUGGGCUGUGAACCGCUUUUGCCUGGGGGCAAUAAGGGCGUCGCGCACGUCCGAUGAGAGUACCAGGCGAAUAAGCAUCGGCUAACUCCGUG
Molecule: ribosomal RNA, 486 nt
Filed under: uncultured bacterium
Lineage: Bacteria
Description: partial 16S ribosomal RNA
Rfam family: Bacterial small subunit ribosomal RNA
Source: RNAcentral